GGAGCUGUAGCUCAGUAGUAGAGCAUCUGCCUUGCAUGCAGAAAGUCCCAGAUACAACCUCUAGCAUGUCCA
Molecule: non-coding RNA, 72 nt
Organism: Podarcis lilfordi (Lilford's wall lizard)
Lineage: Eukaryota; Metazoa; Chordata; Lepidosauria; Squamata; Lacertidae
Source: the annotation of a GenBank genome assembly